Molecule: ribosomal RNA, 580 nt
Filed under: [Candida] sp.
Lineage: Eukaryota; Fungi; Ascomycota; Saccharomycetes; Saccharomycetales
Description: eukaryotic LSU rRNA
Source: RNAcentral
UGGCCUGAAUUUCAACCCGUAGCAUAUACGUAUCUACGACUAUUUCCCAACCUCAAAUCAAGCAAGACUACCCGCUGAACUUAAGCAUAUCAAUAAGCGGAGGAAAAGAAACCAACAGGGAUUGCCCCAGUAACGGCGAGUGAAGCGGCAAAAGCUCAAAUUUGAAAUCCUGCGGGAGUUGUAAUUUGAAGGUGGCCCGGCGGGUUGACGGCAGUAUCAAGUCCAUUGGAACAUGGCGCCAUAGAGGGUGAGAGCCCCGUGGAUACUCGCCCGAAGCCCACACGCUGGACCUCCAAAGAGUCGAGUUGUUUGGGAAUGCAGCUCUAAUGGGUGGUAAAUUCCAUCCAAAGCUAAAUACCGGCGAGAGACCGAUAGCGAACAAGUACAGUGAUGGAAAGAUGAAAAGCACUUCGAAAAGAGAGUGAAACAGUACGUGAAAUUGUUGAAAGGGAAGGGUUUGCAAGCMGACACGGCUUYGGCUGGGCCAGUAUCGGUAAGGCGUGGCACAUAAAUCGGCSUCAAKGUAGCAGGCGACUGUAUUAUAGGGCGCCAGCAUAUGCCAUGGCUUCCGAGGACAGCU